UAGCUAGUUGGUGAGGUAAUGGCUCACCAAGGCGACGAUCGGUAGCUGGUCUGAGAGGAUGACCAGCCUCACUGGGACUGAGACACGGCCCAGACUCCUACGGGAGGCAGCAGUGGGGAAUAUUGGACAAUGGGCGCAAGCCUGAUCCAGCCAUGCCGCGUGGGUGAUGAAGGCCCUAGGGUUGUAAAGCCCUUUCAGCGGGGAAGAUAAUGACGGUACCCGCAGAAGAAGCCCCGGCUAACUUCGUGCCAGCAGCCGCGGUAAUACGAAGGGGGCUAGCGUUGCUCGGAAUUACUGGGCGUAAAGCGCACGUAGGCGGCUUUCU
Molecule: ribosomal RNA, 325 nt
Filed under: uncultured soil bacterium
Lineage: Bacteria
Description: bacterial SSU rRNA
Rfam family: Bacterial small subunit ribosomal RNA
Source: RNAcentral